RNAcentral lists this ribosomal RNA (414 nucleotides) under uncultured bacterium. RNAcentral describes it as "bacterial SSU rRNA". It matches the Rfam family "Bacterial small subunit ribosomal RNA", at positions 945 to 1359 of the family's 1533-position model. The record is from RNAcentral.
UUUAAUUCGAUGCAACGCGAAGAACCUUACCUGGUCUUGACAUAGUGAGAAUCCUGCAGAGAUGCGGGAGUGCCUUCGGGAAUUCACAUACAGGUGCUGCAUGGUGUCGUCAGCUCGUGUCGUGAGAUGUUGGGUUAAGUCCCGCAACGAGCGCAACCCUUUUCCUUAUUUGCCAGCGGGUUAAGCCGGGAACUUUAAGGAUACUGCCAGUGACAAACUGGAGGAAGGCGGGGACGACGUCAAGUCAUCAUGGCCCUUACGACCAGGGCUACACACGUGCUACAAUGGUAGGUACAGAGGGUUGCUACACAGCGAUGUGAUGCUAAUCUCAAAAAGCCUAUCGUAGUCCGGAUUGGAGUCUGCAACUCGACUCCAUGAAGUCGGAAUCGCUAGUAAUCGCAGAUCAGAAUGCUG